AGAUGGAAGGCAUGAAUCUACCUGUCGCCCCCCUCCUAAGCGGCAGGUCGCAGGUUCGAAUCCUGCAGAGGGCGCCA
RNAcentral lists this transfer RNA (77 nucleotides) under Halomonas stenophila. Its description in RNAcentral is "tRNA-Arg". The record is from RNAcentral. Lineage: Bacteria; Pseudomonadati; Pseudomonadota; Gammaproteobacteria; Oceanospirillales; Halomonadaceae.